AAGCUCGUAGUUGAAUUUCGGGAUUAGUACGUCGGUCGUGCCUUAGGUACGUACUGGUGUUACUGGUUCCUACCUUCUAACGAACCAUCAUGUCAUUAAUUUGGUGUGGUGGGGAAUCAGGACUGUUACUUUGAAAAAAUUAGAGUGUUUAAAGCAGGCUCGCGCUUGAAUACAUUAGCAUGGAAUAAUGAAAUAGGACGUUGAUCCUAUUUUGUUGGUUUCUAGGAUUGACGUAAUGAUUAAUAGGGAUAGUUGGG
This 257-nucleotide ribosomal RNA is filed under the name uncultured Glomus. RNAcentral describes it as "partial 18S ribosomal RNA". It matches the Rfam family "Eukaryotic small subunit ribosomal RNA", at positions 624 to 886 of the family's 1831-position model. Lineage: Eukaryota; Fungi; Glomeromycota; Glomeromycetes; Glomerales; Glomeraceae. The record is from RNAcentral.